UAUGAACGGUAUCAAAUAACCAUAGAUUGGUUAUUCUAAGUCAAGAUAACACUGCCUUAGAGUCGUUUAGUUAACGAUUCGGUAGAGCUCGGACACGUAGUCUAUCUACGUUGUCUUAUGUAGAAACUUAUAAUUUAUUCUUUGUUAGGAAUGUCAUAGUUGCACGCUAGCUAAGUUACGUUCUUGGAACGACACUACGGAAUCACACUAAGCUAGCCUUGCACAGGAAUAUCCAGGUUGCAUUUUCAAAACUAUGGAACGGUUGGAAUAGGAGAACCCAUGGGAAUUCGAGUACUUAGCUGCGUUCAGUUUCUAGAAGUUUUAGCAUUAUUAGCUUCCGCUGUGCAAUGAAGAUACCGGUCCAGUCACGCCAAGCUCUGAUAUUUCGGGGUGUGACACAUUUAACUUGAAAUUAAAAAAAAAAAUAAAAACAUUGUUAUCCUUAAACAUUGGAUAUAACUAGAUAAAUACAACCAUCAAAUGAUAAAUCAAAACACAAGAAGUCUACUACACCACCAAACGAUGAAUCAAGUUUAACUAACUUACACAUAAUUAUCCCCAAAAAUGUUUUAGAAUGUCUAAAUUUUAGCUAACAAAGAAACAAAUAGGAUUUCAAGUUUCCAAUAUGUUUAGCUAAAUGGUUUAUUAUGUAUUAUUUUUUGAUAUAAUCAAACGAACACGAACGAACGUAACCGAACGUAUUGCCGAACGUUCAUGAACGUAGUCGAACGAAUGAGAUCUGUGUUCGUGUUCGUUCGCUAAGUUAAUCUAACGAAAUUUUUUGUUCGUGUUCGUUCGUUAAGCUAAUCGAACGGACAUAAACGAACUUCCCGCCGGACGGUUCACGAACUGUUCGCUGAACGUUCGGUUCAUUUACAGCCCUAGUUACGAUGGAAUCGAUUCCUAACAUUUCAACCAAGCUUUUCAUACAACACAAAGUUUUUAUUAAAACCGGUUACAUUACAUUAUAACACUAAACAUUUAGUUAACAUAAAACACACUAAAUCCUACAAAUUCAACAUUACAUAAAACACUAAGAAUUUGAAGAACCGGCCGUGGAUGCUUCACCGGCUUCAUUUUCCUUCGCCUUUGUAACCAGACAAUGACUAUCGGUGUGUUUUUUUAGCGUCGAGUUGACCGUAGCCUUAAUAAACUUGCCGCAAGCUUUGCACCGUGCCAUCUCAUGGCUAUCGCUCAUUAAGCACAAAUCAAAGUGAUUCCAAACUUGGGGGUUUCUUUUGGUUUCCAAAACCAUGACUACUUCAUCGUUGCAUGCCAUAACGAGCUUUGAAGAUAUAGAUUAGAAGGUGUAACUUGAAACCGAUUUAUCUAUUUUUUGAGUAGGAGUAAGUUAUGUUUGAAGGUGAUAUGUAUAUAUAUACUUGAAAACGAUUUUAGCCAUAAAUCGAUUUCUAACGGCA
Long non-coding RNA from Helianthus annuus (common sunflower), 1421 nucleotides. RefSeq lists it as uncharacterized. The transcript is spliced from 2 exons. The record is from RefSeq and is a predicted model, not a curated record. NCBI's taxonomy places the organism in Eukaryota, Viridiplantae, Streptophyta, Magnoliopsida, Asterales, Asteraceae.